AGAAGCUCCACCGCAGCGUCACUUGCUACCGUGGGAAGGGGAGAACUAUGCACAGUGGUGCCGACCGCUCUGCAGCCCGUGGUGCAUCUGGCAGUGACACGAUGCUAGAAAGGAAGAGAUCUCCUGAUAAAUCCCUGUUUCUCAGGGCAUGUUUGCACCAGCCAAAGCAGAUGCAUUUAGAGCAUUUCAGGAGAAGUCUGUGAAAAGCAGGAGCUCGUGUGCCUUUGAUCAGUGCUGCAUCCAGAUCCUUUGCUGUUCUUUGGGUUGUGAGGAGCUUCAUCAGAGGAUGGGGAUAAGCAUCCUGCACCUCCUGCCAUCCAGCACAACGAUGCUCCCUGGGGCUGGCUCCUGCUCCAGCCUGCCACUACCCAAGAACAGGUCAGUAUCAAUUGUAACUUUUGAGGGGAGUCAACACCAAGUAGAGAGGGUCUUUUCGGUGUCAAGAUAGAAACCUGUAAAAUACAUGGAGCAUCUCAAAGCGGUGGCCUGCCCGUGGCGGGGAAUGGUCAAUCCUCAGCAGAGCCAAAGUUUCCAUCAGCUGAACUCUUAUGUCCCAGACUGAAUUCCAAAUACUCUCUGGAUGAUUCUCAGCAGCUCCACUUUCUGAAAAUGCCUGAUUCAAGGAUGAAAAUUGUCCUUCGAGUUAUGAGAAAGAAACACAAC
RNAcentral lists this long non-coding RNA (663 nucleotides) under Strigops habroptila (Kakapo). Its description in RNAcentral is "lncRNA (ENSSHBG00005007647.1)". Lineage: Eukaryota; Metazoa; Chordata; Aves; Psittaciformes; Psittacidae. The record is from RNAcentral.